Nicotiana attenuata is the source of this 3372-nucleotide RNA transcript. It is a transcript of the gene named probable splicing factor 3A subunit 1, with no coding region annotated. The transcript has 7 exons. Lineage: Eukaryota; Viridiplantae; Streptophyta; Magnoliopsida; Solanales; Solanaceae. The record is from RefSeq and is a predicted model, not a curated record.
AACCUUAGCCAAACAACCUCUAAAACCUAAUAACGUAUCUCCCCUCUCAAAUCUCCUCUCUCAAAUCUCAUCUCCGAUCUCUCAAUCUGUCCCUGACUGACGAGUGACAAGUUCAAGCGGCAUAACAGGACCAAGCUUUCUCUUUUCUUGCGAGUUGCGACAAUCUCUCUCCCCAUCCCUGGAAUAUAAAUGUUGAGCACCACGCCAAUAUUACCCCUUCCAGCGCCCCCGUUGGAUGGGAAUCUGGGACCAACACCUCCAGCGCAGGUGGUAGAGGAACCAAAGGAUGAUAACAUGGAGGAAAAUGAAGAGGACAACAAUAAAGCUAAUAAUGUUCCAACGUCUGUUGCAACACAUACGAGAACCAUUGGUAUCAUUUAUCCGCCUCCAGAUAUUAGGAGUAUUGUCGACAAGACUGCACAGUUUGUGGCGAAGAAUGGUCCAGAAUUUGAGAAGAGGAUUGUUCUAAAUAACGCUGGCAAUGCAAAAUUUAACUUCCUGAAUGCUUCUGAUCCUUACCAUGCCUAUUAUCAGCACCGUUUGGCUGAAGCUCGUGCACAGAAUCAGGCUUCUGGAGAGCAGCCUACUCAACCAGCAGACCAAGAAGCAGCCCCUGCUCCUCCUACCGCUGAUGGUGCUGAGGCAACUGCUAGGCCUGAUCCGUCAGCUCAGUUUAGACCUGUCAGAAGGGUUCUUGAGCCACCUGAGGCAGAGCAAUAUACUGUUAGACUCCCUGAAGGGAUCACAGGUGAAGAAUUGGAUAUCAUUAAGAUUACAGCACAAUUUGUGGCCAGAAAUGGGAAGUCUUUCUUAACAGGGUUAACGAGCAGGGAGAUUAAUAAUCUGCAGUUUCAUUUUCUAAAGCCUACUCACAGCAUGUUCAUGUUUUUCACUUCACUUGCGGAUGCGUAUUCGAAAGUUCUGAUGCCUCCUAAAGGCUUGACGGAUAAGCUGCGGAAGAGUGCUGCUGACAUGACAACAGUCCUGGAGCGAUGUCUGCAUCGAUUGGAGUGGGAAAAGUCACAGGAGCAGGCUAGGCAGAAAGCUGAAGAUGAGAUAGAACAGGAGAGGUUGCAGAUGGCUAUGAUUGAUUGGCAUGAUUUUGUUGUCGUUGAGACUAUAGAUUUUGCUGAUGAUGAGGAUCAGGAUUUACCUCCACCUAUGACCCUUGAGGAGGUUAUAAGGAGGAGCAAGAUGCCUACAUUGGAGGAAGAAGAGUAUGUUGAGCCCGGAAAAGAGGUGGAAAUGGAGAUGGAUGAAGAAGAGGUGCAGCUAGUCGAAGAAGGUAUGAGAGCUGCGACUCUUCAAGAGAAUGGUGAUGUCAAGAGUGCUGAAACCAUGGCAAUUGCAGAGGAACAGGACCCACCUAUGCGGAUUGUGAAGAACUGGAAGAGGCCUGAAGAGAGGAUCCCCGCAGAAAGGGACCCGACUAAGUAUGUUGUCUCUCCUAUAACUGGUGAGCUAAUACCUAUUAAUGAAAUGUCUGAACAUAUGAGGAUCUCUCUCAUUGAUCCAAAGUACAAGGAACAGAAAGACAGGAUGUUUUCGAAGAUUAANGGAAUAGGAAGAGCCGAAGCAGGUCAUAUGGGAUGGUCACACAGGUAGCAUUGGUCGCACUGCAAGCCAGGCAAUGUCUCAGAACACUAAUGCAGAUGACCAGAAUGAUGCUGCAAAUGAUGAAAGAAACNGAACACUAACUGCAGGGCUCCCUCCACCUCCCAGACCUGGUUUUCCAUCUGUUAGGCCACUACCUCCACCUCCUGGGCUUGCGCUGAAUAUUCCUAGGCCUCCUAAUACCGUCCAGUAUUCCACCUCCACCGGUGCUGGGGUUGCUGCUCCGCCUCCACCUCGACCUCCUAUGGUUAACAUGAUUCCUCAGGUUCGGCCCCCACCUCCUCCCAUGCCACAGAUGCUAGGUCAGCAAAAUCUCAUGGUAAACCGUCCACCAAUGCCUCCAUCAAUGGCCAUGAAUUCGCAUGGCCAUCCUAUUCCACCACCUCCUGGAUCACAGUUUACACCUUUGGGAGCACCUCGACCCUUUGUUCCCCUCCCGAUGUCCCAACCCGGAAUGUCUAUGGUUCCGCCUCCUCCUAUUCCCCAAGGAAUGCCGCCUCCUCCUCCACUGGAAGAAGCCCCUCCUCUACCUGAAGAGCCAGAGCCGAAGAGGCAAAAGCUUGAUGAGUCUGUUCUCAUUCCUGAAGAGCAGUUUUUGGCUCAGCACUCGGGUCCUGCAAGGAUCAAUGUAUCUGUGCCGAAUACUGACGAAGGGAAUCUCAAAGGACAAAUUCUGGAAAUCACAGUGCAAUCUCUGUCUGAAAGCAUUGCCAGUCUAAAAGAGAAGAUUUCCGGGGAGGUCCAGCUUCCUGCAAACAAACAAAAGCUGAGUGGAAAGGCUGGUUUUCUCAAGGACAACUUGUCUCUUGCAUACUAUAAUGUUGCAUCUGGAGAAACUCUCAGUCUCUCUCUGAGAGAACGUGGUGGCAGAAAGAGAUGAAUGGGGAGUUAUUUUGCAUGGCCUUCAAAGAUUUUGGCAUGUUGGCGAUCAUCCAUGAGGACAACAGGAAGUUUAUUAGUUCUAUGUUUACAAGUGCAAUGACUGUGCGUUGUGUUUAUGUUACUAAUUUGUGUUUAUCUUAAUAUGUGCAGUUGCUUCACCCUAACUGGAGCUCAGUUGUUAUUUUGUUGUAUCUUCUAUGUCCAAGGCCAUUCUGGAUUAGAAUUUUCUAAUGUAUUCUUGGCAGAUAUUCCUUAUAAUUUUAGAGGCUUCGCAUAGCAAUUUAAUAUCUCUGAUUCUUAUCUGGAUUUUAGGACUUAUUUCUGUAGAAGAUGUGCUUGUCGUGGUGGGGGAUACUUGUCGCAAGCACAGCUGCCUCUUUUGUGCUUUAACCCUGUUAAGGGCUGUGAUAUAUGCUGUAUUCGUCGGUUGUUUUAUGAGCUCAAUAGCAAAAGCAGUUUGCCCUGCCUUUCAGAGGAUGUCGCAGGUUGACAACAUGCUUUUGUAAUCUUUGGAAGUUCCUUAUUUUCUGGCGGAUAAUGUGCCAUCUUAGGUUCAUUAGCUAUAAUUUUUAACGGAAUUGGUUGAUCGGGUUAUAUGUCUAUACUUUUGUGCAGUUUGUGGCUUGCGCCACGCAUUUGUGGGGUCUAUUGAUCAUAAUUUCACUUCCAAUUGAUGAUAUUAGUACUAGUGAUUGGCAGCUGGGAAUGUGAUGGACAUAUUAAGAAUCUGAAAUCAUGCUCUCUAUACAUGUGUUUUCUUUUAACUGCCCAGAUUUCCCUGGCAAGCAGAAGUUAUGAACAGAAACCAUUGGAUGCGACUUCUAGAUGAGGUGGCUUUUUUGGUGAGGCAAUGAAGUAUCAAGGAGUUUGCUUGGA